This 276-nucleotide unclassified non-coding RNA is filed under the name Xylodon raduloides. RNAcentral's name for it is "partial contains 5.8S ribosomal RNA, internal transcribed spacer 2, and large subunit ribosomal RNA". The record is from RNAcentral. Lineage: Eukaryota; Fungi; Basidiomycota; Agaricomycetes; Hymenochaetales; Schizoporaceae.
CGCACCUUGCGCUCCUUGGUAUUCCGAGGAGCAUGCCUGUUUGAGUGUCGUGAAAUCAUCAACUCUUUUGCUUUAUUGUAAAAUGAGCUUGGACUUGGGGAUGCUGGUGCAAAUCAGCUUCCCUUGAAUGCAUUAGCUGGAAUUUGGUUCGCAGCAUAUAUGCGGUGUGAUAAUGUCGUCACUGUGUAGCUCGUACUGUCUGGCUUCUAAUCGUCCUUCACGGGACAAUUUGAUCAUUUUGACCUCAAAUCAGGUAGGACUACCCGCUGAACUUAA